GACAGAGGGUGCAAACGUUGUUCGGAAUUACUGGGCGUAAAGCGUGUGUAGGCGGCUAGGUAAGUCGGAUGUGAAAGCCCCGGGCUCAACUCGGGAAGUGCACUCGAUACUGCUUAGCUCGAGUACCGGAGAGGUUGGUGGAAUUCUCGGUGUAGAGGUGAAAUUCGUAGAUAUCGAGAGGAACACCGGUGGCGAAGGCGGCCAACUGGACGAGUACUGACGCUGAGACACGAGAGCGUGGGGAGCAAACAGG
Molecule: ribosomal RNA, 253 nt
Filed under: uncultured bacterium
Lineage: Bacteria
Description: partial 16S ribosomal RNA
Rfam family: Bacterial small subunit ribosomal RNA
Source: RNAcentral